GCUGCUACCACUGCGGCUGCUUCGUGAGGGCCUCGCCGUCCACCGUAGUUGCCUGGACUACGACAUUGGCGUCCUCGAGCAGUUUUCGUAGCUAGGUUGGCCAUGAUGGAUACCGGGGAAAUCAACCACCACCGCCUGAUGGUGCGCUCACUGUUGUUCCACUCACACCCCAGGGGAUCUGGCCACAGUGGCAUCGAGGACCUCCGGAUCCACAUAAAAUCAUUGAGACAGACACCUGUGCGACAUCGCGGAUCAUCCUUAACGCUGCAACAUCGUUGAGGUCCAGCUUGCUGCCUCCACCUGGGAUUGGUGUGUCAUCGUACUAAGGUUUUGGGAAGGGAAGAAAAAUAUGGAUGGAAAGAAUGCAUUGGCAUAUAUUUUCUGGAAGGUGGUCUGGUCUACGUAUCUUCAUCUGAUGGACAUGAAAUCUAUGGUAUGAACUGGGUGAAACAGAACUAUGAUAAGUUCAUUGUUACUUUUCUCUAAAAUUUUGUGGCUCUAUAUAUUAUCCCUAAACUAAGAUGAUAGCCCCAUAUCUGUUAAGCUACUGUAGAACAUGACAAGAUAUAUUUUGUGCAUUGCUGGACCUUAGUCUUUUGUGGUAGUAAUCCGAUAUGUGUGUUUCAGUCUGGAAACAAAAGAUCAUCACUGGACGAUCUAGAGAGAUCUUUCUGAGAGAAUACAAAGGAGAUGGAGAUAGAAAUUGAAUGACCAGGAGAGGAGAUUCUACAAUAUACCUAUUCUAAAAUAGAAGAUAGCAUAUUAUUGGUUCUUUAUCUCCAUGUAUAUUUUCUGGCAUCUUUUCGAAGAGUUGUGUUUGUAUGUUUGGUUCUCUGUUUAAAGGAUUUUUGGUUCUCUAUUUUGAUGCAACCUCCAUUGUUUACAGCCGGGGAAACAAUAAACAAUAGUUGUCUCUUUACUUUGCUCAUGUUGCAGUGUUGCAUGUUUCUUAGCGAAUACUGUCCUUUUAUUGGAGAUACUACAACUGAAUUGCUGGCUCAAUGGUAGGUUUGUUCUGGAGGGUCACAUCUGUACAAAGUACUAGCAGGUUGUCUUUUCUGUUUCCAUAUCCUGACAAGUUUUAGGUUGGGAACUGUUGGUGCUAUUUUGAAAAAUGGAACUCAGCCCAAUCACAGAGGUGUGCCCUGGUAGAGGUAAAACAAAAUCCAUCUGACUUAUCCCGUGUGCCAUGUUUAGUUAUAAGCACAGAAUUUCUGAUCUGGAUAUCUCAUUGGAGAGAUGCAUUGUUACCGUGAUUCAGUUUAUGCUAAAAAGAUUUACUCCAAUUAGGAAAACCUCCCAUCAUUAAUGCUAAUAUGAUGACCAUGUAGUGUCUUAUCAUAUUAUUAGCAAUAGGUAGUGUCUUUCAAAAUCUAUUCCUUCAUUUAUGCAAUUUUCAGUAUUCUUUGAUGCAAACUUGAGCUAGGCAUCUUCUACAGAAAUACAUCAAUCAAGUAACAUCAUGCUUAGUUGAGCCUUAAAAUUUUCUUCCUUGUAGCAAAUAUUUGAACUGCUUUAAGGUUGCUCAGAAGUUCUCCAACUUCUGGAUUCCCUAAACUCUAGCGUGGACCAGUGCCGAAAAGUCUAGCUUCAAGAAGCGAGAUCCGAGAAGCUAGCCCAUUUGGUUGUACAAGUACACAUCUAUAAGUGGAUUUGGUAAGUUUCCUUCGAAGUCCGAUGUUUUUUUACUGUCUAGAAUAGCAUGACACCAGAUAAUUCUACAUGUGGAAACUCUGUCCUUAUCCUUUUUCUGGGUUAAAUGGAGGCUGUACAAUUAUAACUCAUCUCCUUAAGUCACAUGAAGUUUAAAGUUUGCUGUUCCAUUAGCUAGAUAAAAUAAUGUUAGUUCAACAGAUUGUGGGUGAUAAAUUUUCUCUCUUUCUUGGUCAUAUAGAGUUCAAAGGUCACCCGAUUGUUAUUUCUUGUGUUGUAUUCGCACUAUCCGAAACGAUAAACAAGCUUUGCAGAAGACACGAAGAGUUGAAUCAUGGUGUGUCUGCACAACACCCAUUCAAGCUUAAAGCUUUCUCUUCCAUUCAGACUUCAUAUGUGAUUUUUUUUGUUACAAAUUCUCUUUGUUUAUAUGCAAGCAAAUGACUGAAGUAUUAACCAGCACCGGAAGCUUAUAUUGUCAUGCUGAUAGUCUGUCAGAUGUGCCAAUCAGACAGACAUUUUAGUUCGUGAAACCGUCUCCUUAGUCUAGCCCAACUGGAGAGAAUGGAUUCAUGAUAUACUUUUUCUUAUGCACCUGGGAUUAUAUGCAGAUUAGAUUAUACUCCGUAUAUGUUUAUUCAUCAAUACUAAUUCUAAAAAUAUGACACAUUCAGGUUUAAGGGGCAUUGGCACCAUUGACAUCUCAUGGCAGAGCAAUGCUAUGCAUCCACUGGUUAUAGAGAGAUCCGAGGUUGUGACUUGUACUCCCUUUGGUCCUAUUUAAUUGACUCAGAUUUAGCAUAAAGUUGUACUAAAUCCAAGUCAAUUAAAAGAUACCGGAGGGAGUAGCACUUUAUUUUGGAAAUCAAAGCUUAAUAUGGUUAACUCUAUACCACCGUGGUGAACUGUUAUAUGUAUGCCUUAUAAUUUCAACUGGUAUACACAUAGUUCUUAUGUUUAUGGUACCAAUGGGAAUAUGCGCGCUUGCGUGAGUGUGCGUGUGCGAUAUUCGAUUACACAUUUGGGUUGGGUUCCAUGCUCUUCUGUAGUUUCUUGCUAUAUCAUUGUCUUCCAUUGGUCUAGACAAUUUUCAUGGCAUUUAUUGCAUCAAUUAUCUCACUUAAGCACACCACAUUGUCAUGUGAUUUCUCUCAAGAUCUAGCUUUUACCUGUUGUUCAUUAUAUAUAUUUUGUCUUUUGUGCUCUGUAUUACCAAAAUUACUCAAUAAAAAUUAUGCAACUCUCCAGCUCCUUAUUUAUUCUGUGGUCUCUAUUUCCUUGCAAAUGUUAAGUCUUUUGUGUUUCACUGCCAACAGCAAAGAAGAUUUUAUGUGGAAAAGGAUAAUUACGAUUACAGAGCAGCCUAUUCAAAUUAUACCAAUACUAAUACUCCUUAACACUUACUCCCUGAAGUCAAGCUUACCAAGUACACCAUGCAUGCAUGUCGGGGCGUCGAUUA
This is a long non-coding RNA of Lolium rigidum, 3112 nucleotides long. RefSeq lists it as uncharacterized. The transcript is spliced from 2 exons. The record is from RefSeq and is a predicted model, not a curated record. NCBI's taxonomy places the organism in Eukaryota, Viridiplantae, Streptophyta, Magnoliopsida, Poales, Poaceae.